RNAcentral lists this ribosomal RNA (1477 nucleotides) under Deltentosteus collonianus (toothed goby). Its description in RNAcentral is "partial 16S ribosomal RNA". It matches the Rfam family "Bacterial large subunit ribosomal RNA", at positions 130 to 2574 of the family's 2925-position model. The record is from RNAcentral. Lineage: Eukaryota; Metazoa; Chordata; Actinopteri; Gobiiformes; Gobiidae.
ACUAACUCCUAACAGCUAGCCUUCAAUACCAAAAACAACAAACAACAUUAAUAAGCCCAAAGACCAAACCCCUAAAGCAACAAACCAUUUUUCCUCCUUAGUAUGGGCGACAGAAAAGGAUAAUUAAGCGCUAUAGACAAAGUACCGCAAGGGAAAGCUGAAAGAGUAAUGAAAAAACCCAGUGAAGAGCAGAAAAGCAGAGCUUACCCCUCGUACCUUUUGCAUCAUGACUUAGUUAGUACCCCCGAGCAAAGUGCCCUUUAGUUCGAGACCCCGAAACUAAGCGAGCUACUUCAAGGCAGCCUUUUAGGGCAAACCCGUCUCUGUGGCAAAAGAGUGGGAAGACCUUUGAGUAGAGGUGACAAACCUACCGAGCUUAGUUAUAGCUGGUUGCCUACAAAAUGGAUAUAAGUUCAGCCUUUUGACUUUUUCUCUCAACCAAGGAUAUACCUGACAAUGAAACAGAAGAAGACAAAGGAGUUAUUCAAAGGGGGAACAGCCCCUAUGAAAAAAGAUACAACUUUUUAAGUUGGUUAAAGAUCAAAACAAGCAAGGAAUCGCAUUUAGGUGGGCCUAAAAGCAGCCACCCCUUCAGAAAGCGUUAAAGCUCAAAUGCCCCCUCCCCCCUCAGAUACUGACAACAAAAUCUUAAGCCCCUUAGAAAUAGUAGGCCUUUUCAUGCAAACAUGAAAGAGACACUGCUAACAUGAGUAAUAAGAGGGACCCGCCCCUCUCCACAGCACCUGUAUACACCAGAACGAACCCCCACUGAAAAUUAACGCCCCCAACAAAAGAGGGAAGUGAGAAAGUUAUAUUAAACUAGAAGACCUCUCAGAUAUUAGCGUUCACCCCACACAGGAGUGCCCGUGGAAAGACUAAAAGGAAAAGAAGGAACUCGGCAAACACUGGCCUCGCCUGUUUACCAAAAACAUCGCCUCUUGUUCAAUGAAUAUAAGAGGUCCCGCCUGCCCUGUGACCACAAGUUUAACGGCCGCGGUAUCUUGACCGUGCAAAGGUAGCGUAAUCACUUGUCUUUUAAAUGGAGACCCGUAUGAAUGGCAUAACGAGGGCUAAGCUGUCUCCUUUUCCCAGUCAAUGAAAUUGAUCUCCCCGUGCAGAAGCGGGGAUAAAAACAUAAGACGAGAAGACCCUAUGGAGCUUCAGACACAAGGCAGCCAAUGUUAAAUAACCUAGACUAAUAGACAUAAACAACAUAGUGCCUGCCCUUUUGUCUUUGGUUGGGGCGACCGCGGGGCAAUAAAAAUCCCCCACGUGGAACAGGAGCAUCCUUAAAGCCAGAGCUUCAGCUCUAACAAACAGAACAUCUGACCAAAAAGAUCCGGCAAAGCCGAUCAACGGACCGAGUUACCCUAGGGAUAACAGCGCAAUCCCCUUUCAGAGCCCAUAUCGACAAGGGGGUUUACGACCUCGAUGUUGGAUCAGGACCCCCUAAUGGUGCAGCCGCUAUUAAGGGUUC